CUGGGGAGGGACGAGGGAAGGCGAGCUGGGACGGCGGUCACUCUCCAGGGCCCUCGCGUUGGCACCAGCACAGCUGCAGUGACUCCUCGAUUGGUCCCGAGCGGGAUGGCAUCGUCGCCAGGCUGUUGCAGACAGCUAAGGGUGAGAUUCGGCCCGAGGAAGCUGUGGGGAGCGGCUGAGUCUCCGAAGAGCAGCAGUGGCUGUUGACUGCUGGACUGAGUGUUACCUGUGUCUUCUUUGACUGAAACCCUCAUUUCCGGUCACCCGGGGCUUCCGGUGCUGCCUGCAGCUGUCAGCCGUCUUCUGAAGGCCCCUGUGCGGCGGAAGCCGGGUCCCGCUCCCGGAAGUCACCGCGGGUGGCUCUUCGGGUCAGGCUGCAGCUGUCUUCCUUCUCGUUGUUCAUCUCCACCGAGGCAAAAGACAGAAGAGAGGGAGAAAUCCAGCAGGCCUCCCCCCAGACCUUCCAAGGGUGCAGGUCCGGGUCCCUGCUUUGACGGCAGCGCCAGGUCCUGGGAAACCUGCGCCCCUGCCCCAGAAAGCUGGUCGCGCUCUCGGACUUGUGGAGCAGUCGCAGCCCAGGAAGAAAAGUCGAAGACUUGAGGGGGCAACAGCGCAGGGACCACUGUGGCGCCCCGGGGGCCUGCGGUUCCCAGGGCCGCUCCCACCCGCCCCUAGCAACGGCCCACCGGCCCACCCUAGGGACAGCGAGUUCGAGGCCAGCCUGGGCUACUUAGCGAGUUGCUGCCUCAAAAAAAGAGGCCAGGUUGGAGGAGGUCACAGUGACAGUGACGAGGCAGAAGGCGAAGGGAGAGCAACCUCCCCCACGGCUGUGCCCCAAAAGACUGAAACUGGCAGUGCCAGCCUGGCGUGGUGGUGCAUGCCUGUCAUUCCGGCACUCUGGAAGGCUGAAGCAGGAGGAUGGCAAGUUGUAGACCAGCCCAGGUAACUUAGUGAUUUAGUGAGACCCUGACUCAAAAUAAAAACAAAAAAAGUGAAAAGGACUGGAGAUAUAGCUUAGAGUGAAGGCCCUUUUGGUUCAAUUCCCAGUACCAGGGGGAGAGAGAGAAAGAAAGAGAAAGAGAGAAAGGAGCUCCACAAACAUGCGUUCACACAAGUUCACAGCAGCGCUCUUCACGGGAGCCCCGAGGUGGCAGCAGCUCACCUGUCCAUCGGGGAUCGAACUUCGGACCUUGCACUUGCGAGGCAGUUGCCGGAACCACUGAGCUAAAUCCCUGGUCCUUACGUCACAGUUUUGUAAUCAUCAGAAUCUAGAUGUGGCUAAUCUGUAAUAUCCAUGGUGUGGCUACUUUGAUGACCAAUUGUCAAAAAAAAAAAAGGUAAAAGGUAAAAGGUGAAGCUUGCAUUAAAGGGGAUUUCAGGACAUCAACCAAUCACAAUGUGGUCAUCUCAUGUAGCUCUUGAGUUUGUGAAACUGAAU
Molecule: long non-coding RNA, 1438 nt
Filed under: Heterocephalus glaber (naked mole-rat)
Lineage: Eukaryota; Metazoa; Chordata; Mammalia; Rodentia; Bathyergidae
Description: lncRNA (ENSHGLG00000041824.1)
Source: RNAcentral